RNAcentral lists this ribosomal RNA (301 nucleotides) under uncultured bacterium. RNAcentral describes it as "bacterial SSU rRNA". It matches the Rfam family "Bacterial small subunit ribosomal RNA", at positions 775 to 1067 of the family's 1533-position model. The record is from RNAcentral.
GGAUUAGAUACCCUGGUAGUCCACACCGUAAACGAUGAAUGCCAGUCGUCGGGUAGCAUGCUAUUCGGUGACACACCUAACGGAUUAAGCAUUCCGCCUGGGGAGUACGGUCGCAAGAUUAAAACUCAAAGGAAUUGACGGGGGCUCACACAAGCGGUGGAGCAUGUGGCUUAAUUCGAAGCAACGCGAAGAACCUUACCCAGGUUUGACAUGCUUGGAUGCUAUCCGGGGAUAACUCGGUGCGCUGCCCUUCGGGGUGAAACUUGCACAGGUGUUGCAUGGCCGUCGUCAGCUCGUGCCG